Molecule: ribosomal RNA, 492 nt
Filed under: uncultured bacterium
Lineage: Bacteria
Description: partial 16S ribosomal RNA
Rfam family: Bacterial small subunit ribosomal RNA
Source: RNAcentral
AGUGAACGCUGGCGGUAGGCCUAACACAUGCCAGUCGAACGGCAGCACAGUAAGAGCUUGCCCUUACGGGUGGCGAGUGGCGGACGGGUGAGGAAUACAUCGGAAUCUACUUUUUCGUGGGGGAUAACGUAGGGAAACUUACGCUAAUACAGCAUACGACCUACGGGUGAAAGCAGGGGAUCUUCGGACCUUGCGCGAUUGAAUGAGCCGAUGCCGGAUUAGCUAGUUGGCGGGGUAAAGGCCCACCAAGGCGACGAUCCGUAGCUGGUCUGAGAGGAUGAUCAGCCACACUGGAACUGAGACACGGUCCAGACUCCUACGGGAGGCAGCAGUGGGGAAUAUUGGGCAAUGGGCGCAAGCCUGAUCCAGCAAUACCGCGUGAGUGAAGAAGGCCUUCGGGUUGUAAAGCCCUUUUGUUGGGAAAGAAAAGCAGCAGGUUAAUACCCCGCUGUUCUGACGGUACCCAAAGAAUAAGCACCGGCUAACUUCGUG